AUGGAAGCAUUUCAAAUGGUAUGGGUCAAUGAAAUGCAAAAACUAACUCUCUUGGCACAUUCAGCUGCUAUUAAAAAAUACCUUAGAUGGGUAGUUCAUAAGCAUAAACGUAUUUCUCACAGUUCUGGAGAGUGCGAAGUUCAAGACCAAGUAUCGGGAGAACCCACUCCCGAUGGUUACAUACAAGAAAGAUUGGAGACCUGUGUGCCUGGCAAUUGCCUUGUUGAAAGGAAGCCCUCAGCAAAAGUUGGUUGAUGGGAAUCGGCCAAAAAAAAAUGAUAUUUCCAACUCCUGGAUUUUGAUAUAGAAGAACUGUAAUGAAACUAUCC
RNAcentral lists this long non-coding RNA (329 nucleotides) under Papio anubis (olive baboon). RNAcentral's name for it is "lncRNA (ENSPANG00000040918.1)". Lineage: Eukaryota; Metazoa; Chordata; Mammalia; Primates; Cercopithecidae. The record is from RNAcentral.